RNAcentral lists this ribosomal RNA (446 nucleotides) under Synergistales bacterium canine oral taxon 178. Its description in RNAcentral is "bacterial SSU rRNA". It matches the Rfam family "Bacterial small subunit ribosomal RNA", at positions 9 to 458 of the family's 1533-position model. Lineage: Bacteria; Thermotogati; Synergistota; Synergistia; Synergistales. The record is from RNAcentral.
GAGUUUGAUUAUGGCUCAGGACGAACGCUGGCGGCGUGCGUAACACAUGCAAGUUGAACGACGGUGCCAUGAAGUGGUAACACGGAGUGGUAUACGGAGUAACGGACGGGUGAGUACAACAUGAGAAGCUGUCCAAUAGUGGGGGAUAACGUUCGGAAACGGACCCUAAUACCCCAUAGGCCUUUUGGUUAAAGCAGCGAUGCGCUAUUGGAGGUGCUCGUGUCCUAUCAGCUGGUUGGUGAGGUAACGGCUCACCAAGGCGACGACGGGUAGCCGGCCUGAGAGGGUGUCCGGCCACACUGGAACUGAGAUACGGUCCAGACUCCUACGGGAGGCAGCAGUGGGGAAUAUUGGGCAAUGGGAGAAAUCCUGACCCCAGCGACGCCGCGUGAACGAAGAAGGCCUUCGGGUCGUAAAGUUCUUUUAUGUGGGAAGAAGGAAAGUGA